GAUGAACGCUGGCGGCGUGCCUAAUACAUGCAAGUCGAACGCUGGAAAUCUAGCUUGCUAGAUUGAAGGAGUGGCGAACGGGUGAGUAAUACAUAAGCAACCUACCCACGAAGACUGGGAUAAUCUCUGGAAACGGGGACUAAUACCGGAUAGGUAAUCGGAAGGCAUCUUCUGAUUAUUAAAGGUUAAAAACACUGGUGGAUGGGCUUAUGGCGCAUUAGUUAGUUGGUGAGGUAACGGCCCACCAAGACGAUGAUGCGUAGCCGGCCUGAGAGGGUGAACGGCCACAUUGGGACUGAGACACGGCCCAGACUCCUACGGGAGGCAGCAGUAGGGCAUUUUCGGCAAUGGGGGAAACCCUGACCGAGCAACGCCGCGUGAGUGAUGACGGCCUUCGGGUUGUAAAGCUCUGUUGUAAGGGAAGAACGGUAGAUAGAGAAUAUCUAAAUGACGGUACCUUACCAGAAAGCCACGGCUAACUACGUG
RNAcentral lists this ribosomal RNA (486 nucleotides) under uncultured bacterium. RNAcentral describes it as "partial 16S ribosomal RNA". It matches the Rfam family "Bacterial small subunit ribosomal RNA", at positions 28 to 507 of the family's 1533-position model. The record is from RNAcentral.